RNAcentral lists this long non-coding RNA (2081 nucleotides) under Homo sapiens (human). RNAcentral's name for it is "HSALNT0075231". Lineage: Eukaryota; Metazoa; Chordata; Mammalia; Primates; Hominidae. The record is from RNAcentral.
AGAUGACUGAACCAUGUAACAGUUAACUUGGGACUUUCCUUAGCUGAAGGCUAGAAAACUGUAAAUAGGUAGAUUCCUGUCAGGCCUCUGAACCCAAGCCAGCCCGUAUACAUCCAGAUGGCCUGAAGCAAGUGAGGAAUCACAAACGAAGUGAAAAUGGCCGUUUCCUGCUUUAACAGAUAACAUUCCACCAUUGUGAUUUGUUCCUGCCCCACCUAAACUGAGUGAUUAACCUUGUGAAAUUCCUUCUCCUGGCUCAGAAGCUGCCCCACUGAGCACCUUGUGAACCCUGCCACUGCCCGUAAGAGAACAACCCCCUUUGACUGUAAUUUUCCACUACCCACCCAAAUCCUAUAAAGCAGCCCCACCCCUAUCUCCCUUCACUGACUCUCUUUUCAGACUCAGCCUGCCUGCACCCAGUUGAUUAAAAAGCUUUAUUGCUCACACGAAGCCUGUUUGGUGGUCUCUUCACACGGACGCGCAUGAAAUUUGGUGCCGAAACGUGACUCGCAUCAAGGGACCUCCCUUUGGGGACCUCCCUUGGGAGAUCAAUCCCCUGUCCUCCUGCUCUUUGCUCCCUGAGAACGAUCCACCUAUGACCACUGGUCCUCAGACCAACCAGCCCAAGGAACAUCUCACCAAUUUUAAACCGGACCACAGAUGUCUCAGCUAAAAGUCUUGUCUGGAUGAAUUGAGUGCUGGUUUGAGGGGAGAAGUCCUCAGCAGGAGGUGGCUGAUUAUAAUGGAGGUCCUUGACAGUGUUUGAAAUAGCAGCAGCAACCAGAAGUCCUAGGACAAGAAAAAAUGAAGAAUCCCAUCUGAAAACGUUUGGUUUGUAUGAGGUACUACAUUGUACUAACUCUGGGCAAGAACAGUGACUCUAGCAAUGCUGUGAAUAGUCAUCAACGAGGAUGUCUCUGCUUAGAAUUUUAUGCCUAACAUGCAAAAGAUAGUUUGGGCAAGCACACACUAAUCAAUAGGUUACUUUCAAAUUAUAAAGUCAUUGGUGAUCAGUAUUUACAUCUGAUCUGCUUUUAUAUUCUCAUGUGGUAAUGUAGAAAAACAGACAAAUUUAAAAUCAGGUCCUCUGAGUUCCACUCCAGGCACAACAUAGAUAAUAGAAUGAGAUUGUUUCCGUAAUGAAACAACACAAUAGCCUUCCUGAAUAAUUAUGGAUAUGCAGCUUUUUGCUAUAUACAUAUCAAUCUCCAAUAUAGAAACUCCAGAAAAGAGCUACCAUUUAAAAAUCCCAUUAAGUUAUUAGAUAAUCACGAUGUUGAUUAUAUGGAACGGAUAAUCAGACUGUUUAAAAUAACCAAUAAUUCCUAUCUGCCUCUCCAUAAAUUUAGGACCAAUGUUUGAUGAAACUCGACAUCAAUUAUGGAUGAAAACUCUUAAUAAAAUGGAAGUAGAUGUAAAAUUUCUUAAAUAUAUAAGUAUAUAUAUUUAUGAAGCCUAAUAUGUAUAGCAAAGUUAACAUGUUCAAACCUAAGCUCUUGAUCAUCUCCCAAGCUCUUUCUCUACUUAUAAUCAUCUCCAUCUAGGUUAAGGUGACUGCAUCCUUCCAGUUUUAAGAAAAUUAGAAUAAUUCUUGACACCCAGAAGUUCCUGUCAGUUCUACCUUCAAAUCAAUUCAGAAUCUGACUACAUUUUUCCACUUCUAGUGCUAAAAAUUUGGAACUAGUUAUCAAAGAGAAUGAGGCAGCUGUAUUAGCAAUAAUAUAGAAAGACCAAUAUGAUAUAUUAAGUGUCAUAAGUUGCAAAAUAAUUUUUAUCUUGUGCUACCAUUUUUGUUUCAUUAUUUCUUUUGUGUAUAGUAAUGUAUUAUAUUUAUACAUGUGUUUGUUUUGCUUGCAUAGAUAAUAGGUAAGAAAAUAUCUUUGAAAGACUGAUGGAGAAAUUGGUUGGGGUAAUGAGUUCUUUUGGAGCAAAGUGUAGGAGAGGAUUUUAUUUUGAUUAUAUAACUUCUGAUACCUUCUCUAUUUUACACCAAGUGAAUGUAUGACUAACUUUUAAAAAUAAAAUUUUAGAAGACUGUGAUUAUCCAAUAAAAUAUUUUGCUUAUUUUUCUCUCAGUGAUU